RNAcentral lists this ribosomal RNA (314 nucleotides) under uncultured bacterium. Its description in RNAcentral is "partial 16S ribosomal RNA". It matches the Rfam family "Bacterial small subunit ribosomal RNA", at positions 495 to 807 of the family's 1533-position model. The record is from RNAcentral.
GUAUAAGAGACAGCAGUCGCCGCGGGAAAACGGAGGGUGCAAGCGUUAAUCGGAAUUACUGGGCGUAAAGCGCACGCAGGCGGUCUGACAAGUCAGAUGUGAAAUCCCCGGGCUUAACCUGGGAACUGCAUUUGAAACUGUCAGGCUGGAGUCUUGUAGAGGGGGGUGGAAUUCCAGGUGUAGCGGUGAAAUGCGUAGAGAUCUGGAGGAAUACCGGUGGCGAAGGCGGCCCCCUGGACAAAGACUGACGCUCAGGUGCGAAAGCGUGGGGAGCAAACAGGAUUAGAUACCCGUGUAGUCCCUGUCUCUUAUAC